AACGCACAUUGCGCCCCUCGGUAUUCCGGGGGGCAUGCCUGUCCGAGCGUCAUUGCACCCCUCAAGCGUAGCUUGGUAUUGGGCCCUCGCCUCCCCCGGCGUGCCCGAAAAGCAUUGGCGGUCCGGUGUAUACUCAAGCGUAGUAAAUCUAUUCCCGCUUUGGAGGCUUACCCCGGGCCCGCCCGACAACCUCAUUAUUUCAAUGAAUUGACCUCGGAUCAGGUAGGGAUACCCGCUGAACUUAA
This 245-nucleotide unclassified non-coding RNA is filed under the name Coniothyrium sp. RNAcentral's name for it is "partial contains 5.8S ribosomal RNA, internal transcribed spacer 2, and large subunit ribosomal RNA". The stretch from base 1 to 52 matches the Rfam family "5.8S ribosomal RNA", at positions 103 to 154 of the family's 154-position model. RNAcentral also lists the same sequence under 1 other name. Lineage: Eukaryota; Fungi; Ascomycota; Dothideomycetes; Pleosporales; Coniothyriaceae. The record is from RNAcentral.